GAUGAAGAACGUAGCGAACUGCGAUAAGUAAUGUGAAUUGCAGAAUUCAGUGAAUCAUCGAGUCUUUGAACGCACAUUGCGCCCCCUGGCAUUCCGGGGGGCAUGCCUGUCCGAGCGUCAUUGCUGCCCUUCAAGCCCGGCUUGUGUGUUGGGUCGUCGUCCCCCCCGGGGGACGGGCCCGAAAGGCAGCGGCGGCACCGCGUCCGGUCCUCGAGCGUAUGGGGCUUUGUCACCCGCUCGAUUAGGGCCGGCCGGGCGCCAGCCGGCGUCUCCAACCUUCUAUUUUACCAGGUUGACCUCGGAUCGGGUAGGGAUACCCGCUGAACUUAAGCAUAUCAAUAAGCGGAGGA
Molecule: unclassified non-coding RNA, 350 nt
Filed under: soil metagenome
Description: partial contains 5.8S ribosomal RNA, internal transcribed spacer 2, and large subunit ribosomal RNA
Rfam family: 5.8S ribosomal RNA (bases 1-120)
Source: RNAcentral